CUCCUGGAAACGGGUGGUAAUGCCGGAUGCUCCGGUUGGAUGCAUGUCCUUCCGGGAAAGGUUCCAUCGGUAUGGGAUGGGGUCGCGUCCUAUCAGCUUGAUGGCGGGGUAACGGCCCACCAUGGCUUCGACGGGUAGCCGGCCUGAGAGGGCGACCGGCCACAUUGGGACUGAGAUACGGCCCAGACUCCUACGGGAGGCAGCAGUGGGGAAUAUUGCACAAUGGGCGCAAGCCUGAUGCAGCGACGCCGCGUGCGGGAUGGAGGCCUUCGGGUUGUAAACCGCUUUUGAUCGGGAGCAAGCCCUUCGGGGUGAGUGUACCCUUCGAAUAAGCACCGGCUAACUACGUGCCAGCAGCCGCGGUAAUACGUAGGGUGCAAGCGUUAUCCGGAAUUAUUGGGCGUAAAGGGCUCGUAGGCGGUUCGUCGCGUCCGGUGUGAAAGCCCAUCGCUUAACGGUGGGUCUGCGCCGGGUACGGGCGGGCUGGAGUGCGGUAGGGGAGACUGGAAUUCCCGGUGUAACGGUGGAAUGUGUAGAUAUCGG
This 543-nucleotide ribosomal RNA is filed under the name Bifidobacterium dentium. Its description in RNAcentral is "bacterial SSU rRNA". It matches the Rfam family "Bacterial small subunit ribosomal RNA", at positions 147 to 700 of the family's 1533-position model. The record is from RNAcentral. Lineage: Bacteria; Bacillati; Actinomycetota; Actinomycetes; Bifidobacteriales; Bifidobacteriaceae.